UUCAACCAUUCACAGGCUAUAUGCUACCAGGAUGGGACAACUCCAUGUAGUCACGCACAUGAUCUCUGGAGCCAAGGAAAUACCAAGAUAAUGUGACUUUGAUGGUACCUCACAAAGCCUCCAUCUCCUGGAAGGGUCAUCUCAGAAUGUCCGUCGAGGCGUCCUCGGAGUUUCUCCAGCACUGUUGCACACUGAGAAGCUGUCUGUAGGUUGAGGUUAUAGAAAGAGUAUGCAAAGAACCAUUCCCCCCAGCUCUACCGCUGCAGCCAGCCUCUGCGCCUGCGCCGU
Molecule: long non-coding RNA, 288 nt
Filed under: Rattus norvegicus (Norway rat)
Lineage: Eukaryota; Metazoa; Chordata; Mammalia; Rodentia; Muridae
Description: long non-coding RNA NONRATT032561
Source: RNAcentral